AAGCACGGCUUCGCAGCGCGCACACGGGGAGCUUGCUCUCAGAGAUGCUGCGAGGAAAGUCCCCGUGCCUUGGUGCAGAGAGUGCGAGUGGGA
This 93-nucleotide non-coding RNA is filed under the name Scrippsiella hangoei. Lineage: Eukaryota; Dinophyceae; Peridiniales; Peridiniaceae. The record is from RNAcentral.